GACGAACGCUGGCGGCGUGCUUAACACAUGCAAGUCGAACGGAAAGGCCCCUUUGGGGGUACUCGAGUGGCGAACGGGUGCGUAACACGUGAGUAACCUGCCCUUGACUUCGGGAUAACUUCAGGAAACUGGGGCUAAUACCGGAUAGGAAUCCUUGCUGCAUGGUGGGGGUUGGAAAGCUUCGGCGGUUUUGGAUGGACUCGCGGCUUAUCAGCUUGUUGGUGGGGUAGUGGCUUACCAAGGCUUUGACGGGUAGCCGGCCUGAGAGGGCGACCGGCCACAUUGGGACUGAGAGACGGCCCAGACUCCGACGGGAGGCAGCAGGGGGGAAGAUUGCACAAUGGGCGGAAGCCUGAUGCAGCAACGCCGCGUGCGGGAUGACGGCCUUCGGGUUGUAAACCGCUUUCAGCAGGGGCGAAGCUUGUGGUGACGGUACCUGCAGAAGAAGCACCGGCUAACUACGUG
This 465-nucleotide ribosomal RNA is filed under the name uncultured bacterium. RNAcentral's name for it is "partial 16S ribosomal RNA". It matches the Rfam family "Bacterial small subunit ribosomal RNA", at positions 28 to 507 of the family's 1533-position model. The record is from RNAcentral.